This 455-nucleotide ribosomal RNA is filed under the name uncultured bacterium. Its description in RNAcentral is "bacterial SSU rRNA". It matches the Rfam family "Bacterial small subunit ribosomal RNA", at positions 346 to 793 of the family's 1533-position model. The record is from RNAcentral.
AGGCAGCAGUGGGGAAUUUUGGACAAUGGGCGCAAGCCUGAUCCAGCCAUGCCGCGUGCGGGAAGAAGGCCUUCGGGUUGUAAACCGCUUUUGUCAGGGAAGAAACGUUCUGGGCUAAUACCCUGGGAUAAUGACGGUACCUGAAGAAUAAGCACCGGCUAACUACGUGCCAGCAGCCGCGGUAAUACGUAGGGUGCAAGCGUUAAUCGGAAUUACUGGGCGUAAAGCGUGCGCAGGCGGUCUUGCAAGACAGAUGUGAAAUCCCCGGGCUUAACCUGGGAACUGCAUUUGUGACUGCAAGGCUGGAGUGCGGCAGAGGGGGAUGGAAUUCCGCGUGUAGCAGUGAAAUGCGUAGAUAUGCGGAGGAACACCGAUGGCGAAGGCAAUCCCCUGGGCCUGCACUGACGCUCAUGCACGAAAGCGUGGGGAGCAAACAGGAUUAGAUACCCUGGUAG